AGGUCAUAGUGAUCCGGUGGUUCUGAAUGGAAGGGCCAUCGCUCAACGGAUAAAAGGUACUCCGGGGAUAACAGGCUGAUACCGCCCAAGAGUUCAUAUCGACGGCGGUGUUUGGCACCUCGAUGUCGGCUCAUCACAUCCUGGGGCUGAAGUAGGUCCCAAGGGUAUGGCUGUUCGCCAUUUAAAGUGGUACGCGAGCUGGGUUUAGAACGUCGUGAGACAGUUCGGUCCCUAUCUGCCGUGGGCGUUGGAGAAUUGAGAGGGGCUGCUCCUAGUACGAGAGGACCGGAGUGGACGCAUCACUGGUGUACCAGUUGUCUCGCCAGAGGCAUUGCUGGGUAGCUAAAUGCGGAAGAGAUAAGUGCUGAAAGCAUCUAAGCACGAAACUCGCCUUAAGAUGAGUUCUCCCUAGCUAUAAGCUAGUAAGGGUUGUUGGAGACUACGACGUAGAUAGGUCUGGUGUGUAAGCGGUGUGAGCCGUUGAGCUAACAGAUACUAAUUGCCCGAGAGGCUUAACU
This 518-nucleotide ribosomal RNA is filed under the name Glaesserella parasuis str. Nagasaki. RNAcentral describes it as "bacterial LSU rRNA". It matches the Rfam family "Bacterial large subunit ribosomal RNA", at positions 2407 to 2925 of the family's 2925-position model. The record is from RNAcentral. Lineage: Bacteria; Pseudomonadati; Pseudomonadota; Gammaproteobacteria; Pasteurellales; Pasteurellaceae.